UGAGGAAUAUUGGUCAAUGGGCGCGAGCCUGAACCAGCCAAGUAGCGUGCAGGAAGACGGCCCUAUGGGUUGUAAACUGCUUUAGAGAGGGGAUAAAGUGAGGCGCGUGCCGCUUCAUUGCAGGUACCUUUCGAAAAAGGAUCGGCUAACUCCGUGCCAGCAGCCGCGGUAAUACGGAGGAUCCGAGCGUUAUCCGGAUUUAUUGGGUUUAAAGGGUGCGUAGGCUGUACUGUAAGUCAGCUGUGAAAAUCCCCCGCUCAACGGGGGGAGUGCAGUGGAAACUGCAGUGCUGGAGGGCACAAGAGGCAGGCGGAAUUCAUGGUGUAGCGGUGAAAUGCAUAGAUAUUAUGAAGAACUCCGAUUGCGAAAGCAGCCUGCUGGGGUGCAUCUGACGCUGAGUCACGAAAGUGCGGGUAUCAAACAG
RNAcentral lists this ribosomal RNA (424 nucleotides) under uncultured bacterium. RNAcentral describes it as "bacterial SSU rRNA". It matches the Rfam family "Bacterial small subunit ribosomal RNA", at positions 355 to 775 of the family's 1533-position model. The record is from RNAcentral.